Non-coding RNA from Cherax quadricarinatus, 927 nucleotides. Lineage: Eukaryota; Metazoa; Arthropoda; Malacostraca; Decapoda; Parastacidae. The record is from RefSeq and is a predicted model, not a curated record.
GAGGUACAUAAUGGGUCCAGGGACUGGGCCUCAAAGUUUUGAUAGCUGAGCAAGUUACAGAGGUAAUGAAUUCACAAUUUACAAAGGUAAUGAACUCACAAUUUACAAAGGUAAUGAACUCCAGGUAGGUCUAGUCACAAUCAUGACAAGUUACAAAGGUAUUUACAGAUUACAGAGGUACACAAUGUGUUGUAGUAGUGCCAUCUAGUAGUGGUAGUCAGAGUUAGUCAGGUUAUCAGUGAUGGUGUUAUAGUGAAGGUCAGGACAGUGACCAACCUCAGGGUCACUAAAGAUCAGUUAACCGUCAAUAGUCGUAGAGAAGAGUCGUGCUGCUGCUCCUCCUGCCACCCCCCGCCAGCUUUAUCGCUUCCUCAUCUUUUUAAUACACCUAAAUAACGUGUGGUAACUGAGGAUUGCUGUACCUGGCUGUGUCUACUGCAACAUUGAUCAACACGGCAACUUUGAUCAGUCUGAGGGGUGGAGACAACCAUACUAGUAAAUGGUCUGACCCAUAACAUUUAGUGUUAUAUGGAGAUGCAUUAGUUUAAUAUGUUUAUUAUGCACCCCAUACCCAUCCUGUGGGCGGUAGUCAAAAGAUUACAGAGGUACAUAAUGGGUCCAGGGACUGGGCCUCAAAGUUUUGAUAGCUGAGCAAGUUACAGAGGCAAUGAAUUCACAAUUUACAAAGAAUCCUCCUGACAAACAACACUGGAGACAGGCUAUUAUGAUCACCUCUUGUGUUAGUCCUCGGUUGUGCACGCUGAAGUGUUUGGGCAGUGGACAGUCAUGCACAACACUAUUUUCACUGCAGUGUCGCAACACUUACUUGGAGAGAGUUCCGGGGGUCAUCGCCCCCGCGGCCCGGUCUGUGACCAGGCCUCCUGGUGGAUCAGAGCCUGAUCAACCAGGCUUAGCAUAGCUUCCUGA